Molecule: ribosomal RNA, 429 nt
Filed under: Pseudomonadota bacterium
Lineage: Bacteria; Pseudomonadati; Pseudomonadota
Description: Proteobacteria bacterium partial 16S ribosomal RNA
Rfam family: Bacterial small subunit ribosomal RNA
Source: RNAcentral
UGGGGAAUAUUGGACAAUGGGCGAAAGCCUGAUCCAGCCAUGCCGCGUGUGUGAAGAAGGUCUUCGGAUUGUAAAGCACUUUGAGUUGGGAGGAAGGGCAGUAAGCGAAUACCUUGCUGUUUUGACGUUACCGACAGAAUAAGCACCGGCUAACUCUGUGCCAGCAGCCGCGGUAAUACAGAGGGUGCGAGCGUUAAUCGGAUUUACUGGGCGUAAAGCGUGCGUAGGCGGCUAAUUGAGUCGGAUGUGAAAUCCCCGAGCUUAACUUGGGAAUUGCAUUCGAUACUGGUUAGCUAGAGUGUGGGAGAGGAUGGUAGAAUUCCAGGUGUAGCGGUGAAAUGCGUAGAGAUCUGGAGGAAUACCGAUGGCGAAGGCAGCCAUCUGGCCUAACACUGACGCUGAGGUACGAAAGCAUGGGGAGCAAACAGG